This 460-nucleotide ribosomal RNA is filed under the name uncultured bacterium. RNAcentral describes it as "partial 16S ribosomal RNA". It matches the Rfam family "Bacterial small subunit ribosomal RNA", at positions 338 to 795 of the family's 1533-position model. The record is from RNAcentral.
CCUACGGGUGGCUGCAGUGAGGAAUAUUGGUCAAUGGGCUUACGCCUGAACCAGCCAAGUCGCGUGAGGGAAGACUGCCCUAUGGGUUGUAAACCUCUUUUGUCAGGGAGCAACGCCGGCUACGUGUAGCCGCACUGAAAGUACCCGAAGAAAAAGCAUCGGCUAACUCCGUGCCAGCAGCCGCGGUAAUACGGAGGAUGCGAGCGUUAUCCGGAUUUAUUGGGUUUAAAGGGUGCGUAGGCGUGAUGCCAAGUCAGCGGUAAAAUCUCGGGGCUCAACCGCGCUCGGCCGUUGAAACUGGCGUUCUUGAGUGGGCGAGAGGUAUGCGGAAUGCGUGGUGUAGCGGUGAAAUGCAUAGAUAUCACGCAGAACUCCGAUUGCGAAGGCAGCAUGCCGGCGCCCAACUGACGCUGAAGCACGAAAGCGUGGGUAUCGAACAGGAUUAGAUACCCGGGUAGUC